This 253-nucleotide ribosomal RNA is filed under the name uncultured bacterium. RNAcentral describes it as "partial 16S ribosomal RNA". It matches the Rfam family "Bacterial small subunit ribosomal RNA", at positions 524 to 776 of the family's 1533-position model. The record is from RNAcentral.
UACGAAGGGGGCUAGCGUUGCUCGGAAUCACUGGGCGUAAAGCGCACGUAGGCGGCUUUUUAAGUCAGGGGUGAAAUCCUGGAGCUCAACUCCAGAACUGCCUUUGAUACUGAGAAGCUUGAGUCCGGGAGGGGUGAGUGGAACUGCGAGUGUAGAGGUGAAAUUCGUAGAUAUUCGCAAGAACACCAGUGGCGAAGGCGGCUCACUGGCCCGGUACUGACGCUGAGGUGCGAAAGCGUGGGGAGCAAACAGG